AUAGCUUAAAGAAGAAAACACAGUUCAGAGACGUGGUGCAAGAACUCCACAGCAGGGUGAACCUGAGCAAAAGGAAACCAAGUACAAGAGGAAACAACUCCCAAGUUGAGGCAGCAAGUGAGGAUGGUAUCAUAACUACUGACGACAUCUAUCAAAAUGUCUGAGGUUGAUCUAAAAACUGCUUCAGGAGGAUAUUGCAAAGCUAUGAAACAUGUCUGACUCAAAAGGAAUGAUGAAUAAGUCAGUACACUGGUUGGUUUUUUUGCUCAAGCUUGCCAGUGAAAUGAGAGAAACAUUUUCUGCACAGUAAUGGUGCUAAGUAAGGGGGCUUAGUGGCUUAUCAUUGAUCAUCUUUCUGUGCAGCUUUCUGCUCCGAUCAACUAGUCCCUGCAAGUUUGUUUCUGAGUUGUAACUGGGGGAGUUUCUGCGUGACAGAAGGUGGACUAAAUGUGAAAUAUUAAUAUGGAUUAUUCUUAAUAAAAUAUUAAGUUCUAAAAAGGGCAUGCAUAUCUGAUCGCUGGUUUUAAAAAGCAUUAGGAAAACAUGAGGAAUGGAGUAGAGUAUAGCUCCUAAGAUGUAAUAAACACUGGUAGGGCUAAGAAGCCUUUUUGUAGAGCAAUUUCCAGAAGCCAAAAAAAAAAUUUUUAAAUAAAUUUUUUAAAGAUUCUUGCUCAAGACUGAAUUUCAAGGUAUUGAUUCAAACACCCAGAUUUCUUUUGAAGUCUCUUUUCUUUCUUUAUGAUCAUUUUGUGAGACUCUGAGUCUUAUUACCCACUAAAAAGAAAGAACACCCUGUUGCCAAAAGUAUUGGAUCAUUUGCCUUGAAACUUAUUAACACUGUUAUUCUCCUCAGCACCUAACUUUAAAGCUGACACAAUCCUGACAUAGACAGAGAUUAAGACUAAUUGAUCACCGCAGAGAAUAUGUCUCUACUGCUCCACAUUCUAGUGGUGUUAUGUUUUACUCUCUGAGGGGUCCUUUAGAUUAAGUUGUCCUAAAAUGAAGGACAAAUAAAGUUUGGAUAACUUCAGUUAUUGACUGUACCAACUAACCCUUCUCUAAUUCUACCAUUUAAUAAAUUAUCAUCCUCAAUAA
Molecule: long non-coding RNA, 1095 nt
Organism: Cyprinodon tularosa
Lineage: Eukaryota; Metazoa; Chordata; Actinopteri; Cyprinodontiformes; Cyprinodontidae
Exons: 2
Source: RefSeq, a predicted model, not a curated record